AGAGACUGCUUUUUUUUUUUUUUUAAACAGAUUGAAGGUUUGUGGCAACCUUGAGUCAAGCAAGUCUAUCAGUGGUGCCAUUUUCCAGACAGCAAUUAUUUUUUAAUUAAGCGUCUGGUGACCAGGAAGACACCCCCUGGGACACCCAGCUCACCCCAGCACCUGCAGACGGGAUCCUGGGAAAACUGGAGAAGCUGGCGAAGGGUGAGAAUUCUACCAAAGUCAGCUCUGCUAGGUCUCCACUGCCUUGUUGAGAGGAAGAUGCUUUUAAAAGUGAGACUCACAGAAAGGACCCUACCGAGGAGUCUUGACCACUGACACCACUGCCAAAUUACAAGGUGUUGAACCUCAGGGGUAUUUCACAGCUGAAAAAGACUCUGCCGGACAUCUGGCCCUGUGCAAACGCUGGAGACCUCAAAUCAAACCGACCAGGAAGAGGAGCAGCUGACAUCAAGGAAAGUGACCUGGCCAUGACCAACCUUUCUGCCAAAUCAGGCCAGCUGACCUGUGCGUUGGCUGGAAGGACAGAGCUCACCUCCCACCAGAACCAGGGCAUUGCUCACAGAAGCAGCUGCAGAUCCAGGCCAGCUCAGCACGAGCCAGUGUGGAGGAGGAGGAGGAUGGCGGCAAAGCCUGCUGACCAGCAAGUGGGCGUUGACUCUGCCGAGG
Molecule: long non-coding RNA, 669 nt
Organism: Physeter macrocephalus (sperm whale)
Lineage: Eukaryota; Metazoa; Chordata; Mammalia; Artiodactyla; Physeteridae
Exons: 4
Source: RefSeq, a predicted model, not a curated record